CGCUCCCUGGGCGUGGUCCGGGCGUGGCCCCUCAGGCACUCGGUGGGCGUGGCCUGCUCCCUCAGUCGUUUGGUGGGCGUGGUCCGGGCGUGGCCCCUCAGGUGUUCGGUGGGCGUGGCCUGCUCCCUCUGACGCUUGCUGGGCGUGGUCCGGGCGUGGCCCCUCAGGUGUUUGGUGGGCGUGGCCCGGCCCUGGCGCUCAGUGGGCGUGUCCCAGUGGGCGUGGUCCCUCAGGUGGGCGUGGUCCCUCGGGUGGGCGUGGUCACUCCAGCUCUCAGGGGGCGUGUCCAUUGGCUCAGUGGGCGUGUCCCGGUGGGCGUGGUCUCCCGGGUGGGUGUGGUCCCCCAGGUGGGCGUGGUCUCUUGGGUGGGUGUGGUCCCCCAGGUGGGCGUGGUCCCUCAGGUGGGCGUGGUCCCCCAGGUGGGCGUGGUCUCUUGGGUGGGUGUGGUCCCCCAGGUGGGCGUGGUCCCUCAGGUGGGCGUGGCCCCCCAGGUGGGCGUGGUCUCUCAGGUGGGCGUGGUCCCCCAGGUGGGCGUGGUCUCUCAGGUGGGCGUGGUCUCUCAGGUGGGCGUGGUCUCUCAGGUGGGUGAG
Molecule: long non-coding RNA, 590 nt
Organism: Myiozetetes cayanensis
Lineage: Eukaryota; Metazoa; Chordata; Aves; Passeriformes; Tyrannidae
Exons: 3
Source: RefSeq, a predicted model, not a curated record